RNAcentral lists this ribosomal RNA (253 nucleotides) under uncultured bacterium. RNAcentral describes it as "partial 16S ribosomal RNA". It matches the Rfam family "Bacterial small subunit ribosomal RNA", at positions 524 to 776 of the family's 1533-position model. The record is from RNAcentral.
UACGUAGGGCGCGAGCGUUGUCCGGAUUUAUUGGGCGUAAAGAGCUCGUAGGCGGCUUGUUGCGUCGACCGUGAAAACCCGCGGCUUAACUGUGGGCUUGCGGUCGAUACGGGCGGGCUGGAGUUCGGUAGGGGAGACUGGAAUUCCUGGUGUAGCGGUGAAAUGCGCAGAUAUCAGGAGGAACACCGGUGGCGAAGGCGGGUCUCUGGGCCGAUACUGACGCUGAGGAGCGAAAGCGUGGGGAGCGAACAGG